Molecule: ribosomal RNA, 458 nt
Filed under: uncultured Acholeplasma sp.
Lineage: Bacteria; Bacillati; Mycoplasmatota; Mollicutes; Acholeplasmatales; Acholeplasmataceae
Description: bacterial SSU rRNA
Rfam family: Bacterial small subunit ribosomal RNA
Source: RNAcentral
ACCCGCACAAGCGGUGGAUCAUGUUGUUUAAUUCGACGAUACGCGAAGAACCUUACCAGGUCUUGACAUCCCCUGCAAAGCUAUGGAGACAUAGUGGAGGUUAUCAGGGAGACAGGUGGUGCAUGGUUGUCGUCAGCUCGUGUCGUGAGAUGUUGGGUUAAGUCCCGCAACGAGCGCAACCCUUAUUGCUAGUUACCAUCAUUAAGUUGGGGACUCUAGCGAGACUGCCAGUGAUAAACUGGAGGAAGGUGGGGAUGACGUCAAAUCAUCAUGCCCCUUAUGACCUGGGCUACAAACGUGAUACAAUGGCUGAAACAAAGGGCAGCGAAGGAGCGAUCUGGAGCGAAACCCAAAAAAGCAGUCUCAGUUCGGAUUGAAGUCUGCAACUCGACUUCAUGAAGUCGGAAUCGCUAGUAAUCGCGGAUCAGAACGCCGCGGUGAAUACGUUCUCGGGGUUU